CUAGGACUUGGUUGCAAUAUCUUAAGGUGAGAUACUCUGUUACUAACAAUGUUGUAAACUGCAAACAGAGUUCUUACCACUAUGUACAAUUCUUGUAUAUUGUCAGGUGAGUUUUGAUGUUAUUGGAAAUUUAGAGGUGUAAACCCAUUAUUGGAAGCAAAUGCAAUGCCAGGCAUCAAUACCCUUUUUUGCAUUCAACCUCUAAUGGAAGGUCAGUAUGAACAUUGCCCAGCUCUUCUUACAUAUGCUCUCUGAUUUGUAAAUUAAGUUGUAAUAUGCUAUUUUUGAACAUAUAUGCAGCAAAGAAGACACAAUGCUAAUGUCAGGUUAACUGCAACAUCAACAAUCUGUAUACCAGGAUCUCGUAUGUGCUUACUAUUCAGUAUUCACAAUUCAAAACACUGGAGCUUCACUACUGAAUAUAUGUCAGUAUGUGAUGAUGCGUGCGAUCUUGUUGAGCUUAGGGAUGCAAAGUGGCGUCCCACGUCAGCCCGCUUCCUUAAGUUGAUAAAAAAAGAAUAAGGCUGGCCCCUAUUUGCUGUAAUCAGUACAUUUUAUACUGGCAGCUUAGUUUAGUGGGCCUUAGCACGAUGCCACUUUGCAUCCCUAGUUGAGCUUGUAAUGUAAGUAACUUAUUAGUCAACUGCGAAUUCUGCUAGUCAUAUUGAUCCUUGAUUGAUCUCUUUUGAGGUAAUUUAUCCAUGACUGGGCUACCACUAACUAGAUAUAAUCAUAUUUCCCAGGUAGCCAAAAUACAAGAUGGGUGGAACAGUCAACAGAAGAACUGUAGAGCAACUAUUUUUCGAGUACUUGGAUCUCAUGAAGUUAUCUGACUUCAGUUUACAUUAUACCAGUACCAAUUCUUACAUGGAAAACUAGUUGGAACUUAUGUGCUCUAUGUAUAUAGUGUUAUUAUUUGCAUAUCACUUCUCCUCUCCAAACGGUACAUUUGAAUGCGCUUUAUUUGUCACACCAAAAAAUGAAUUGAAUUAUAGUAGUGUAGUGCAUGCUUUCUAACAUUAGUUGGUGUUACAUCUGAACUGUUUGGGAGUUUUGCAAUCCUAGAGCGUGCUGCAAUGACGCCCCAUGCUGUUAGUCCUCUUCGACUUCAUGAAAAGGAAGUGGAACAACCUUCACAGCUCUGAACUUCCCUGCAUUGUUUAGGUGUUCGUUCUCCAGCCUGA
Molecule: long non-coding RNA, 1184 nt
Filed under: Triticum aestivum (bread wheat)
Lineage: Eukaryota; Viridiplantae; Streptophyta; Magnoliopsida; Poales; Poaceae
Description: long non-coding RNA (TAES_LNC014506)
Source: RNAcentral